AUUUGCUGCUCUGCUGGACCCUGAGUCUGGCGGCGGGCGGCCUCCUCUCCGCUCCCCGCCCGCCAUCCCCCAACUCCCGAUCUCUCUGCUGCGUCUGGCCUCAGGCUGAGACCCCAACGAAUCAUUCCCCGCAUGGGAACAUUUUAUGAUAUAACUGAAUUCAGUUUUAUGUAUAACUGAAUUACGGAUAUGAGAAUCUCAAAUGAGGACGAAUGGUUUUUACGCACAAAACAUGAGACACAAAUCUGUAAGAAAUAUAAAGUCGUGACCACGUCCUUUCAGAACUUUAACCUGUUUGCUGAAGUACGUCAGUAACAAUGGCAGGGAAAGGGUAUCUUAAAUUUCACCACAGCCUCAAAGAGGCCAUUUCGUGGAUCCGCUGAGGCUUGGAGUCGGCCUUCUGACCACGAGUCCUGCGGCUAUGAAAGAGGAAGCCGCGGUUCAGGGCGUCCUCGCGAGUCGUGCAGCCCGCCCUGCUCCAGCUGGGGACACCGGUGGUCACGGCGCUUUCCAGCUGCAGAUCCAGGCGGCAGCCCAAGAUUUGGUCCAGCCGCCAAGGGGUGGCUCGAGUGACUGACGGGCCUUGAACGCUCCCAGGACCCACAUCUGGAGAGGGAGGUGGGGGUGGGGUGCUGAAGUCAUUCUUGGGGCCCCUGGGGGCGGGCAUGGACCUGGGUAAGGCCAGAGAAAUUGACACCUCGUGACAUCCCUGGAAGAGAAGUACGUUCAGUGUCACUCCAGAGCUGAAACCGCCUUCUGGCUGGUCCCUCCUCACCUACAUACUUUUCUAAUUUGUCUGGAGCAGGCCGGGCAUCUGUAUUAUCUGGUUAUUUAAAUAUCUGGUUAUUUAAAAGCUCUCCAUUAAAUUCACAUACACGAAAAUAAAAAUUAAAAAAAAUUUUAAAAAAAAGAAACAAAAGCUCUCUAAUGACCAAGUCCUACACGAUAGUGAAUAAAUUUUUUUGUGUGGUCCCUAAAAUUGAGUUCAUGCCUUUUCUGAAGUAAUAGACGCCCAGAGAAGGGAUCGACUUACCCAUCAUGCCACAGAGAUUAAUUGGCCCCAGAAUUCUUUAGCAGACCGUGUAUAUGAACGUCCUUUGCAAUCAUAUAAAUUAACUGGGAAAACCUCAUUUAGUAUGUUACAUGCCUAGCGUUUUGUGCCUGAACACCUUACAAGAACCAGGGACUAUUGCCCCAAUAUUAUAUUUCAGGAAAGGAAGGCCCAGACAAAUGGUGUCACUGGUCCACUUUCACCCAGUUGGUAAAUGAAACCAGAAAUUAUAGCUGUACCACAGAAAGGUGAAAACGUUUCUUUUAUAAUUUCACAUACAAUCUUUAAUGGACCCAGUGUCCAACACAUUAAAGCAAGUGCUCAGGAGUGACAUCAAGAUGUAAAAAAUAGUCCUGUCCUCAGGGAGUUUAGGUCUUGGAGAAAAGAGACCCAAGGAGACACAAGACAAAGGGGAAAGAGAAGGAGCGCUGAAGACUGAGGACCCUGCCUGUGGACUGAAGUGAGGAUGGGGACACCCGAUGCCCGGAAUAUGACAGUUUGGAGGGGCCUGAAGGACUCUUCUAUUCUCUAUCAGAAAAACAGAAUUACUCUCCUAACCAGAAAAGGUAUUUCAAUUUAUAUUUUCCAUCACAGCACUUUUCUGGUGAUAAUUUAAUGUGUUUUAAAAAAUGUAUCACAGUGAUGGCCUGGUGUGAAAUAAAUAAUAAAAUUUUAAGAAUUAAAAAAUAUAAAAAUCUUUUAUAUAGACAUUAGGAGUUACAAGGAUAACUGUGAAUUAUAAUUAGUAAUUAAAUUGAAAUACUGAUUAUUUUCAUUUUUAUUUAAUUAUUUAAUAAAACCUAUUUAACAUUUAAUAUUUAUCAGUAAUUAAAUCUAAUUGUUAAUAUUUAUUAUUAUAAAUUAUUUUAGAAUUAAAAAUAAGUGUAGAAGCGAGGCAUGGUGGCUCAAGCCUGUAAUCCCAACACUUUGGGAGGCUAAGGUGGGAGGAUUGCUUGAGCCCAGUAGUUCAAGACCAGCCUGGGCAACAUGGAGAAACCCUGUCUCAAUACAAAAAAAUGAGCCAUGUGUGGUGGUGCGUGCCUGUAGUCCCAGCCAUUCUGGAGGCUGAGGUGGGAGGAUGACUUGAGCCUAGGCAGUCAAGGCUGCAGUGAGCCCUGAUCUUGCCACUGCACUCCAGUCUGGGCAACAGAGCAAGACCCUGUGUCAAUAUACAUAUGGACAAACUUAAAAUUUAAAAUGAAAGCAUACUACUGAUACAGAAUUGAGUAGAGAUGCAAAGCUAGUCCUAUAACCAGAACAAUAAAGAUAAAAAGGAGAGUGGAAGAAGGUAUGUCAUGAAUUUCAUGAUAAAUGGCAAUUGCAAAUAUCCUGUAGCAGAACAAAACAACAAAACUGUAGAUAAAACAUAUCCAACCCUUUGGAAGGCCAAGGAGGGAGGAUUGUUUGAGCCCAGAAGUUGGAGACCAGCCUGGGCAACAUAGUGAGACCCUGUAUCUAAAAAGGAAGAAAGAAAAAAAAAAAAAGGAUGAUAAAGUAGACAAUAUUGAAAGCCAUUUUCUGCAAAUACAUAGUGAAUUUGAUCAGUAAUUUUCUUCCAACAGUGCAAAAAUGAAUAGAUAUUAGUUGCCUGAAAUAAAAAUCAAAUAUCCAACAAAAAAUAUUGACUAUCUAAUAGUAUCUAAGCUAGUAAAUUUGGCCAGUUAUAAAAUGUCUUAAAUUUUUAUUUAAAAAAAGAAAACCAUAUUUAUAAGAAGAGGUGAUAAAGAGAAAUUAUUUCAGUUAUGAAGAUUUUGUUAGAAAACUAUGAGAAAAAAACUAUUUUUUGUUUUCAAAAAGUGAAAGAUUAAGUUACCAAACAGUUGCUAAAGAAUACCAGAUGGCUGAGCGUGGUGACUUAUGCCUGUAAUCCCAGUACUUUGGAAGGCCAAGGCAGGAGGAUCAUUUUAGGCCUGGAGUUCGAGACCAGCCUGGGCACUGUAGCAAGACCCGUCUCUAUUAAAAAAAAAAAAAAAAAAAAAAAAGAAUACAAGACCUUGCUAACAAUAGCAAAGAUCAAUUAAUUCAAAAUUUGAAAAACUGUAAUUUAUUUAGCUUUAGAGUACUCUCGUGAUAUGAGAUUGCCAAAUUAAUACUUUGGGUGCAUUUCUUUUCUCAAAGGACUUGCAAAUUUACAAAGAAGUGUUGAAGAAAAGCCACACAUUGGCAGGUAAUGUUUGCAAAAGACAGAUCUGAUGAAGAACAAUAUUUUUAGAAUAUACAAAGAAUACUUAAAACUCAACAGUAAGAAAAUAACCUGAUUUAAAGCAGGCCAAUGACCUGAACAUCUGUUCACCAAAGAAGAUACACAGAUGCAAGUAUGCAUAUGAAAAGAUGCUUGACAUCAUGUCAUUAGGGAACUGCAAAUUAAAACAAGUAGAUACCACUGCAUACCUAGUAGAAUGACCAAAAUUUAGAACACUGUCAGCACCAAAGGUUGCAAAGAUAUGUAGCAAUAGUAACUUGUUCAUUACUGGUGAGAAUGCAAAAUGUGCAAUCACUUUGGAAGACAGUUUGGUGGUUUCUUACAAAAGUAACCAUACUUUUACCAUAAGAUUCACCAAUCACACUCCUUAGUAUUUAUCCAAAGGAAUUGAAAACUUAUCUCCACACAAAAACCUGCACAUAGAUGUUUAUAGCAGCUUUAUUCAUAAUUUAUCCAAAACUUGGAAACAAGAUGUCUUUCAGUAGGUAAGUGGAUAACUGUGGUACUUCUGAAUAAUGGAAACUCCGGCCUCAUAGUCCAGAAAAA
This 3800-nucleotide long non-coding RNA is filed under the name Homo sapiens (human). RNAcentral describes it as "non-protein coding lnc-HIST1H1A-3:1". The record is from RNAcentral. Lineage: Eukaryota; Metazoa; Chordata; Mammalia; Primates; Hominidae.